GACAGAGGGGGCAAGCGUUGCUCGGAAUUACUGGGCGUAAAGGGCGCGUAGGCGGGAUGGCAAGUCGCUCGUGAAAUCCUUCGGCUCAACCGAAGAACGUCGAUCGAUACUGCUGUUCUAGAGGGUGGCAGAGGAGACUGGAAUUCCCGGUGUAGCGGUGAAAUGUGUAGAGAUCGGGAGGAACACCGGUGGCGAAGGCGGGUCUCUGGGCAACUCCUGACGCUGAGGCGCGAAAGCGUGGGGAGCAAACAGG
RNAcentral lists this ribosomal RNA (253 nucleotides) under uncultured bacterium. RNAcentral's name for it is "partial 16S ribosomal RNA". It matches the Rfam family "Bacterial small subunit ribosomal RNA", at positions 524 to 776 of the family's 1533-position model. The record is from RNAcentral.